Molecule: small RNA, 91 nt
Filed under: Mycobacterium tuberculosis 18b
Lineage: Bacteria; Bacillati; Actinomycetota; Actinomycetes; Mycobacteriales; Mycobacteriaceae
Description: putative small regulatory RNA
Source: RNAcentral
AGUACCAAUCCAGGCCACCCCGACCUCCCGGCAAAAGUCGAUGUCCUCGUACUCAUCGACGUUCCAGCAGUACACCGCCCGGCCCUGAGCU